CUGCGAAUGGCUCAUUAUAUAAGUUAUCGUUUAUUUGAUAGUACCUUACUACUUGGAUAACCGUGGUAAUUCUAGAGCUAAUACAUGCUAAAAAUCCCGACUUCGGAAGGGAUGUAUUUAUUAGAUUAAAAACCAAUGCCCUCUGGGCUCUCUGGUGAUUCAUGAUAACUUCUCGAAUCGCAUGGCCUUGCGCCGGCGAUGGUUCAUUCAAAUUUCUUCCCUAUCAACUUUCGAUGUUUGGGUAGUGGCCAAACAUGGUUGCAACGGGUAACGGAGGGUUAGGGCUCGACCCCGGAGAAGGAGCCUGAGAAACGGCUACUACAUCCAAGGAAGGCAGCAGGCGCGCAAAUUACCCAAUCCCGAUUCGGGGAGGUAGUGACAAUAAAUACUGAUACAGGGCUCUUUUGGGUCUUGUAAUUGGAAUGAGUACAAUUUAAAUCCCUUAACGAGGAACAAUUGGAGGGCAAGUCUGGUGCCAGCAGCCGCGGUAAUUCCAGCUCCAAUAGCGUAUAUUAAAGUUGUUGUGGUUAAAAAGCUCGUAGUUGAACCUUGGGCCUGGCUGGCCGGUCCGCCUCACCGCGUGUACUGGUCCGGCCGGGCCUUUCCCUCUGUGGAACCCCAUGCCCUUCACUGGGUGUGGCGGGGAAACAGGACUUUUACUUUGAAAAAAUUAGAGUGCUCCAGGCAGGCCUAUGCUCGAAUACAUUAGCAUGGAAUAAUAAAAUAGGACGUGCGGUUCUAUUUUGUUGGUUUCUAGGACCGCCGUAAUGAUUAAUAGGGACAGUCGGGGGCAUCAGUAUUCAAUUGUCAGAGGUGAAAUUCUUGGAUUUAUUGAAGACUAACUACUGCGAAAGCAUUUGCCAAGGAUGUUUUCAUUAAUCAGGAACGAAAGUUAGGGGAUCGAAGACGAUCAGAUACCGUCGUAGUCUUAACCAUAAACUAUGCCGACUAGGGAUCGGACGAUGUUAUUUUUUGACUCGUUCGGCACCUUACGAGAAAUCAAAGUGC
Molecule: ribosomal RNA, 1008 nt
Filed under: Papiliomyces puniceus
Lineage: Eukaryota; Fungi; Ascomycota; Sordariomycetes; Hypocreales; Clavicipitaceae
Description: SSU rRNA
Rfam family: Eukaryotic small subunit ribosomal RNA
Source: RNAcentral